This 305-nucleotide ribosomal RNA is filed under the name uncultured bacterium. RNAcentral describes it as "bacterial SSU rRNA". It matches the Rfam family "Bacterial small subunit ribosomal RNA", at positions 333 to 653 of the family's 1533-position model. The record is from RNAcentral.
AUGACCCUACGGGGGGCAGCAGUGGGGAAUAUUGGGCAAUGGGCGCAAGCCUGACCCAGCAACGCCGCGUGAAGGAAGAAGGCUUUCGGGUUGUAAACUUCUUUUAAGAGGGAAGAGAAGAAGACGGUACCUCUUGAAUAAGCCACGGCUAACUACGUGCCAGCAGCCGCGGUAAUACGUAGGUGGCAAGCGUUAUCCGGAUUUACUGGGUGUAAAGGGAGCGUAGACGGCUGCGCAGGUCAGAAGUGAAAGCCCGGGGCUCAACCGCGGGACUGCUUUUGAAACUGUGUAGCUAGAGUGCAGGG